This 478-nucleotide ribosomal RNA is filed under the name uncultured bacterium. RNAcentral describes it as "bacterial SSU rRNA". It matches the Rfam family "Bacterial small subunit ribosomal RNA", at positions 26 to 518 of the family's 1533-position model. The record is from RNAcentral.
AGGACGAACGCUGGCGGCACGCUUAACACAUGCAAGUCGAACGGAGAUAAUUUGAGUUUACUAGGUUAUCUUAGUGGCGGACGGGUGAGUAACACGUGAGCAACCUGCCUUUGAGAGAGGGAUAGCUUCUGGAAACGGAUGGUAAUACCUCAUAACAUAUCGAAACCGCAUGAUUUUGAUAUCAAAGAUUUAUCACUCAAAGAUGGGCUCGCGUCUGAUUAGAUAGUUGGUGAGGUAACGGCUCACCAAGUCGACGAUCAGUAGCCGGACUGAGAGGUUGAACGGCCACAUUGGGACUGAGACACGGCCCAGACUCCUACGGGAGGCAGCAGUGGGGAAUAUUGCACAAUGGGGGAAACCCUGAUGCAGCGAUGCCGCGUGGAGGAAGAAGGUUUUCGGAUUGUAAACUCCUGUCUUAAAGGACGAUAAUGACGGUACUUUAGGAGGAAGCUCCGGCUAACUACGUGCCAGCAGCUGC